This is a non-coding RNA of Megalopta genalis, 536 nucleotides long. The record is from RefSeq and is a predicted model, not a curated record. NCBI's taxonomy places the organism in Eukaryota, Metazoa, Arthropoda, Insecta, Hymenoptera, Halictidae.
AGAGGUCAUGAUAAACGUUUGAUGUUUGUGAUCAACGAAGAUUAUGCCAUCUCCGUUUCUGUUCACCAUUAUUUGUAGGACAACAUAAUUCUUAGCGUGUCUACAUGGAAUGCACGACGUGACUUCCUCGUAGUCAAGAUUAUGGCUACCAAUAGGGAAGUAGGCGAAUCGAUGCAACGCAGGGGAAAUACAGAUUGCACUUAAUGAGAGUCAUGCGCUCUGGACCAAUGGCAAAGCGGAAUGCUUCUUUCAUUGACAAUAAGUGGAACAUCAGGAUCGAGGUCAAGAGAUACGGACUCUCGGAGCAUAGCGACACAUGCAACAUUCCUUCGAGGCAGGCCCGGAGCGUGCAAUAAAAAUGUUUAACAAUUUACUGUCGCACCGCAACUAUGGAUCCUGAGGCCACGCUAAAAUUCUCCAUCUGAUUCCCUAGUAAUUUAUUCUCUCUAUGUGGAUAAAAAUCCUAUUCACCCAUACACAUAACCUGAUAUAUUGGGUUGGCAACUAAGUAAUUGCCGAUUUCAGUUAUAGAUGUC